UCCCUCUCAGGAUCACAUCUGGAGAGUUUCCAGUACUCUGCCAUUCUCAACUACAGGAGGGAAAGUCAAGCAGAGGCAUACCCCUUCCAUUCCUAACUUGGUCAGUGGCUAGUGAGUGGAAGGUAAUCUGCGACAAAU
Molecule: small nucleolar RNA, 138 nt
Organism: Tachyglossus aculeatus (Australian echidna)
Lineage: Eukaryota; Metazoa; Chordata; Mammalia; Monotremata; Tachyglossidae
Source: RefSeq, a predicted model, not a curated record